AAAAAAGUUUUAUAGUGUACUAAUCAUACUCUCUAGACCUAAAUCCUCACACACAACUUUCUGCAUUUGCACACAGUGAUUAUGGUGAUUUCAGUUUUAUUCUCUUUGUGAGACUGUUUGGAAUCAUGCAAUGACCUGACGCCUUCAUGAGUUUCAGAAAGAGAGUGGCAGAGAAAGCACCGUCUUGAUGUCUAAUCAAGGCAGAAAAACAACAACACCUGUACACUGAGACGGCUCUUAUGGGUUUGAGUCAUUUCUAGUUAAACAUUAUUACCUUUUAUUAAUCAGUGUUUCAUAACAAGAUGUGCACUGUCUUUCAAAAAUCACACGUUCAUAUGCACUCACACACUUUCUUUCUUAAUAAGGUUUCUCUCUUUGAAUGUGUGUCUGAAAUCAGCUUGACAGACGGAGCUCAUGAGGAUCCAAUAUAACUUAUUAACAAAAUUCUGUUCUUGCAUUCUUAGAAUGUUUUGCUUACAUUCCCAUUAAGUUCUUAAAACUUUAUUUCUGAAUGCCUUUUAAACGUUCAAGACAUCCUGUUUUUUUUAAUGUAUUAAAAAUAUAUUUUCUUAGUUUAUGUGAGCAUUAGAGGAACAUUCCAUUCUAUCAUUUUGAAAAUGUUUUGAAAACGUUAUUUCUGAAUGUUUUCUUAACGUUCAAAGUGUCCAGCUUUUUAAAUGGUUGAAGAACGUUUUUUCUUGGUUAUGCAAAAAUCCUCUAAAAAUCAAAUGAGCAUAAGACCCUGAGAACUAACUACUGUAAAUUAUCUGAGGAACAUGUGCAGAACUGUUCUGGGUGUUUUCCUCCAUGGCUCUGUGAUCUUCUGGUUCAGCAGGUGAAAAUGGUGUCGAUUUCACUUAAUAAGCAGCAGCACACUCUCCUCAAUGACACGCAAGAUCUGAGGAAUCAUUCAUGACUGAUAUUACAGCAGAAGAUCGUCUGAAAAUACAGCAUGACACAAACACUGAUUUACGGGGGUUUGUGACAGAUUCACACAGUGAAAUUACUCGUGAAGAGAGAAGGGAAGGAAAAAUCUCCCUCCCUCCAUGUCAAAAUGUUUGAAUGUUCUCAUGAGGGCCGCUGCAUUAUACUGCGUUUGAGAAUAAACAGGCAGGACAGACGCUCAUCAUUUAUGGCUUUAAUACAAGCGUCAGUGGCAGUAUAAAUGUGCUCUGAGCGAUUCACAAUCCCAGAAUCCCCGACCUCAACCCCAGCGUGUCCCUGGCGUGCUUCUAUUUUAGAAACGCUGCACUAUUCUUCUGCUUUGCGCUUUUGCUGAAGCCCUUAAAGAGAAAUCCCUGCUGUCAAAUGUUAUCUUUGAAGGCCCAGAGCUCAGUGUUGCUGGUAGGCUUUUGAUUAUUAUUUUUAUUUGCUCAGCAGAACAGAAUAUCAUACGACAGAUGUGAGGCAGAUAAGACAGUUUACAACUAAUAUUUUAUAAAGGCUUCAUAUCCCUCAUGCAACAUGAUGAGAUUCCAUAUUCAGCCUCUGAAGACUGACUGGCAAAACCUGCCUGUGGCAACAUUUCUGCACCAAAUAACGUUGCUUCUUGUACAUUUCAAAGUGAUUGGCACUAAAAGCACUUUCAGGCUUAAUGAAAGAUUUGAAUGUGAAUCUGGCAACACUUUAUUACGAUUAUUGUUGAAUGUACAACAUCGCAGCAGUUCAGAAGUCAUGAGUCAUGUUUGACAGACUCGUACCUGAGCGCUUCACAUCACAGAGCAAUACAUCACAAAAACAAACAUGAAUCAUGUACUGUGAUGUUUUGAGCUCAUAACAUAAUAUUGUGUAAUGAACCAACUUUAUUAAUCAAAAAUCUGCCCUGUAAUCAUAAUUUGUGUAAAAGGGAAUAACAUUUUUACUGUGUUUUACUGUGACAAGUGUUCAUUUCAGCUGAAAACUGCAGUGAUUUUUUAUCGUUGGUACAGGCACGUUUUUCCCUUGAGUCUGUUCUAGCCAAUAACUGCUGGACUCCUCUUCCUGUACCAAACCGCUAGAGUGUCUUUGUUGACUAAACUCACCCUCGUCUUCAUCAUCUCGCUCAUGACAGGUCACAUUAGCAGAUGUCAUUGUUGCCAAGGAGACAGAAUGAUAUCGCAUCACUUCCUCCGACACGCUUUAAUUAUGACUUGAACUUCACUGAAGGAGGUGAAAGGUCACAUCUCUGGACGUGAUCUGAAUCCACAAAACUCACCUGGAAUCAGUACAUUUAGGGAUAUAUUUAGCCUUUGGUCAAUUUAUCAUAAAUAACAUUAUAUUUUACAUUUGAGUAAUAUACACACAUGAACCCCACUGUGACCCCAAAAACAGCAGAAACACACCCUAAUUAAACACAAACGAGGGAAACAUUCAUCCCAUCUUCACAAACCAGAUACAGACUUUCAUUUUCUUUAGUUUGUUACCUAAAACACUAAAUUCAGCUGAGAUCAAACAUGAGUGUGAACAGCAUCAGUAAUAUUAUUCAUAAUAUUAAUAUGAACACAGCACCAGAUGAAAGACAGUGGCACUGUUGGAAAUGCUGUCCUCUUUCCCGUGAGCUUCAGUGUUAUCAUCAUAUUUAAAAGCACUUUAACAAGCAUCAGAGUGAAGCAGCAGAUUUGUCAGUGUGAUGCUCAUAUUUUCGAUUUGCAGCAGAUUCUGUGGCUAAUAAACCUCCAGCACUUGAAUAUGACAUUUGGACAUGACAGAUAAACACACAUGUUGAGUUGGAGCGCAUCCUCGGCGCUGACCUGCUGUCCUGUUAUCAGAGUCCCCCAGCAACCAUCUGUCUCAGAGCAGGACAAACUCAAGCGAGCGCUCAGAUCUGCAGCACAAUGCAGGACGAGCAGACGCUUCGCUCUGAACGCUUCACAGAUGGACUGUAAGUUCCCUUCCCUGUGAUACCAGUCUUCAUCAGCUCGCUUUGACUUUCUUGCUUUGUAAUUCAAACAUGCAAACCCACAAGAGCCUCUUCAGUUUACAUAUUUAAUCACCCUAGUGUUUCAUUACAACUAGUAAUAGCAAAAGCGUGUAAAAAAGCCUUAAUAAACACUGCCAUCAUUUUUCAAAAUCCACAGAAGUCUGACAGGAGCAUUAUUCCAGGUUUUCUUUGUUUAAAUUUUCUGUGCCACAUUUUUUUUUUAUUUUUUUUUUAAGAAUUAUAUAAAUGCACUUUGGG
Molecule: long non-coding RNA, 3157 nt
Organism: Cyprinus carpio carpio
Lineage: Eukaryota; Metazoa; Chordata; Actinopteri; Cypriniformes; Cyprinidae
Source: Ensembl